GAUCAAGGGAAGUAAUAGUGCCACUGUAUUCUGCUCUGGUCAGACCUCACCUGGAGUACUGUGUCCAGUUCUGGGCACCACAGUUCAAGAAGGACACUGACAAACUGGAACGUGUCCAGAGGAGGGCAACCAAAAUGGUCAAAGGCCUGGAAACGAUGCCUUAUGAGGAACGGCUAAGGGAGCUGGGCAUGUUUAGCCUGGAGAAGAGGAGGUUAAGGGGUGAUAUGAUAGCCAUGUUCAAAUAUAUAACAGGAUGUCACAUAGAGGAGGGAGAAAGGUUGUUUUCUGCUGCUCCAGAGAAGUGGACACGGAGCAAUGGAUCCAAACUACAAGAAAGAAGAUUCCACCUCAACAUUAGGAAGAACUUCCUGACAGUAAGAGCUGUUCGACCGUAGAAUUUGCUGCCAAGGAGUGUGGUGGAGUCUCCUUCUUUGGAGGUCUUUAAGCAGAGGCUUGACAACCAUAUGUCAGGAGUGCUCUGAUGGUGUUUCCUGCUUGGCAGGGGGUUGGACUCGAUGGCCCUUGUGGUCUCUUCCAACUCUAUGAUUCUAUGAUACUCUUUUCUGUGUUCCUUUGGGCCUUGCAAACUGCCUGGACACAUAAUUGCUCUCUUUGCUUCUAACAUUUCUUUCUGGAGACUCAGUUCUGCCUCUGCAUUCCUGCCUCAAAUGUGGUCAGGUUUCUCAUAGUUAGACCUUCUUUAUGAUCCAUUAAUGAAACAAAAGCAUAAAAUUUUGGUCCUAAAGAUGAUAGCAGAAAAGAAUUCAUUUCCUCAUCAAAAGGCCUAGAAGUCAAUUCAAUUUUCUGAAUAAUUGCUGUAAAUUGGUUCAUAUGCUUUGUGAAUUCAUCUUUAGAAUUCAUCCUGAGUCUGGUUAACUCACGUAUUAACAUUCUGUAGGAGCUCUUCAUGGUGUCUCCAAACACGCUCUAUAUCACUUAAAAUUUGAGAUGCACUAUCCUCGGAAUCUAUCAUUGAGAGGAGUUCAUUGCGAAGCCCAUUCAAAAUGAUGAAUCUGGCUUUACUGUUCUUUUCAUCCCAAGCUGUUAUCUUGGCUAAAUCACCCUCACUUGUGCCUGUAGGUUGAGGGCUUGUUACAGCAUCCAGGACUCCUUUUGCACCUAGAACGCUAUUAAGUGUUGCUUCCAGUGUACAAAAUUGUUCAUUUAAGCCCAGUCAUGCCUUGGCCUAGGUCACUAUCAAAAGCUACACUAGCCAUCUCCAAAAUCCAGAAAUUCGAAAAAUAUUCAAAAAUCACUGUCUUAGGUAAUUGUGAACUCUGAGGGAAGGGAGGGGGUUGCUUAAUCUCCACUGCACAAUGGAACAAAGGACCAUGUGCUUACCAGGAAAUAUGCUCAGGAAAAUUCUUUUCGGCCUAGGAUUACAAUCCUUUGCAAUCCUUCAAAAUUACACAAAAAUACACAAUGCUGGGCCCAUAACCCUUUGUGAAGAUGUUUAGGGAGGCAGGAUAUAUUAUUUUAUGAUAUCCUUCCUAACUUGCGUCAACAAGUUCUAUAAUUUAGCAGUGUUGUUAAACAAUGCCCCUUUAAAAUUACACAGCGGUUAGCUAGUUGCAGGCUCGUCCCUUUUUAUAUCCCUCUUAAAAGAAUAGACACGAUCAUCUGAUUAAAGUUAACAUAAAGCUAGUUUACUUAUAAAGCUACUUUACUUACUCAUGCAGUUCACAAUAAGAUCUCUGAAAGUGUUACAAAACAACCUAUAACAAUGUGAACUAUCCCAUAAGGGAAAUAGUCUCAAGUGGCUGCGAUUCAGCAGUCACUUCUCCUAACUCUUAGGAACACAAAAAAUGGAAAACAAAAAAGGCGGAACAUGGAGGCCAUGUGCUCAUCUGUCCAAGAACAGACCACACCCACACUAAGUCACAUGCAAAGGAAGUCUGUCCCAGCUCAGGAGGAACUAGCAAGUUUUCUCCUGAGUGAUACAUUGCAUGUGCAUUGUGGGAAUGUUGUAUUUGACUGCAAUACAUUUUUAUACCCCACACGUUUAGGGUUCUCUCUCUCUCUUGCAAACUUAAAUUCAGUUCUCCACAUUCCAACAGCAAUUUGCUUUUUUAAAAAAGAGGAAACCUUGUGAAAAUUCAUCCACAUUUUAGUGCAUGUUUCUCCUAAUAAACACACUUUUUAAUUCAAUUUUGAUAUACACAGUUUUGCAAGCAAUGUCCCUUGCAUGUUAUUUUCACUAAUACAGUGCUACCUUGGUUCUUGAACUUAAUCUGUUCCGGGAGUCCGUUUGACUCCCGAAACCAUUCAAAAACCAAGGCGCAGCUUCUGACUGGCUGCAGGAGCUUCUUGCACUCAAUUGGAAGCCUGCGCUCAAUCAGAUGUUUGGCUUCUGAAAAACAUUUGCAAGCCAGAACACUUCUGGGUUUGCGGUGUUCCGGAGCCAAUUUGUUCAGGAGCAAAGCUGUUUGAGUACCAUGGUACCACUGUAUUUGCAUUUAUGUGCAUGAUUUAUCCAAAUAUGUGCAUUUCUAUACACAUUGUUUGGAUGGAGAAUUGUGUUGCAACAUUCAGAACAUGGUGAAUUUUGCAGAAUGGCUGUUUCACAUAUUGCUUCAGGUUGUGUGAAUUUAGUAAGUUUAAAUGGAAACUGGAUCAAAUUUCUCCCUCUUCCCUAACAUUGAGUUACAGGGCAUAUUGACACAGGGUGGCAUUUUGCUAACAAGCUCUGCUAGCGCAACAGGACUUCUCCCUUGCCCUCCACCCCAAAUUGAGUCUGGGAGUGUUGGGAGAACCCCUGAAACUGGGGAGGUGCAGAUCAUUCCAACAGGAAUGCACAGGCUGAUGGCAUGAUCUGCUUAGUGCAAAGAAUUCUGCCUAUACUUGCUGUGAGCGGCUGGCAGUAUUAUAAACAGGGAGGCCAGAAGAAAAAGUGGAAAAGAACAGAUAUGAUAGUUGCAUUAUGAAUAGGAGUCAAUUCAUUUUUUUAAAAGCCUAUAUGAUGAACAUUGACAUUUUGUGUAUGCAUGUGUGUGAAUGUGGAUGUAUGGAUAUAAUAUAAUGUGUAACUCUGGUGAUGACAACUGUAGUCCAUGAAGGCUUAUACCAUAAUAAAGUUUUUAGGCUUUAAGGUGUCACCAGAAUAUUGCUUUUACUACAAGUAGACUAGAACAAGGGCUCAGCCUCUACAUUUAAGGGAAGGAAUCAGAAAAUCUGUGUCUGUGAGGGAGGUCAUUCAGAAAGUUUGUAUUUGUUUUGUUCAGUGCCUUUGCAUUGAAUUGCAGCUGUUGUCAAUGCAAAUUGUCCAAUCUAUCAAACAUUUAGCCUAUUCAUAGGGAUCAGAAAUAUGUUCCAUUCAUAUGAAGGAAGUUCUGGCAGCGAGUCUGAAGGGGAGAAUAUAUCAUGUCUUCAAGCAGAGAAGGUCCUGGAGUGGGGGGUGGCCAUUGCUACUCCUUGCCCUCCCCAUUACCGGCUCGUUUCCAGAUCAACAGGAACUGGCAAAUGCUUGGGAUUCCAGGACCCUUUUCUUGCUCCCAAGGUGACAGUUUGACCUCUUGGGUUGCUCUCCAUGAAUAAUAGGAUUUGCUCUUUAAAACAGUUCCGAUUUUGUAUGCAUGGGAACAAAAAAAAGAUAAAAAUAAAUGAAGUGAGUAAUUUGCGUGUUCAAAUCUGUGUAGCCUGGCAUCCCCCUUUGAUGUGUCAGGCUGCAAUUGUACAUUACCGUGGCAAAGAGAGGGUUAAGAGGGCUUCUUGGUUUCCUCUGAAAGGCGAGCUGUUCUGCUCUAUUUAAUGAAUGGCCUCUGCUGCUUCAAAUGUCAAUGGCUCCUUCUUUAAUGGAUGCAUCACCCAUUCAUUGAAAGUUCACGUCUGUGGCACUGACUGAGUGCUUGGGUGAUGAUGCCCGAGGAAGUGCGCAUUUGGAAAGCUCUAUGUUGAGACUGAUCGCCCAUGUGGAUAUUCUCCCCACCCCCCUAAGCCUCUGUGAUCGAGAUGCUGCAACUCCUACCUUGCUUCCUAUUUGUGGUUCUUUUCUGCAAAAGUCACUUGGAUUUCCCAGUUCUAGCCCACAAUCCUGGCAAGGUCUUUAUUCAGAACAGUGCCUGUGGUGGAAUUCCUGCACCUGGGGUUCCUCCAGGGCUUUUGAGAAAGGGCCUUCCUUGGCGCUCCUGGGAAGGCAGGGGCUGCACUGGAAAAACACUUUUAAAGGAAAGUUGCUGAAGCCUGUUGAACAUCAGUGCAUCAGGCUGUUGAAUUUCCUUCUAUAACACUUUGGUUUAAAUCAGGCUGCAGUAGUAGGACUGCAAUAGGACUGUAUGGGCCAGAUUUAGGUUUGAUGAGGCCCUAAGCUACUGAAGGCCCUUUAUAUAUCCAGCUGUCAACAACAAAUUGUCGCUUUUGUGUGUGUGUUUAAUAUAUGCUAUAUGAUAUGGUAAUUGGUAAUAGGUAUCUAAAGCCAUUUGCGCAUAACAAAAUAUGUAUUUUAUCAAAGUAAUUGUAUUUUAGAAAUGUACAUCUAGUUUUUUUUCCUUUGAUUUUUUUUUGGGGGGGGCAAGAGAGUGGGGCCCUAAGCUACAGCUUGUUUAGUUUAUAUGUAAAUCCGGCACAGGCCUCUGCCUCCGCAGUUGGUGCAUGUGCUUCUGAAUACCUGGAGAGGAGAGUGCCACUCAUGCGCUCAGGCCCUGCUUAUGGGCUUCCUAUUGAGGCAUCUGGUUGGCCACUGUGAGAGCAGGACGCUGGACUAGAUGUCCCCUCUUCGUCCUGAUGCAGAAGGUUCUUCUGAAUGUUCUUCAGUAGAUUGUUCCCAGGUGACUGGUUUACUGAGCAUUGCACAACAAUUAGACAACGAUGGCUAUUUCUUUGUGGGGAGGUUAUACAAUGUUUCAUCCACCAUCAAGUUCUCCCACACCUUCCAGUGCAGUUCCCCAGCCACUUCGACAGAGCUUGGUUUUGCAGGGAAGCAAGUUUGUUGUGCAUGAACUCCAGUUGCAUUGCCUGAAUUUGCUGGUACAAAACCCACUUGAAAACAGCAAUGGCCCAGAAGUGCCUGUGGGUAAUCCAUUUAAAAAGGUCAAUCAGUUGGCAGAUUUAAAAUUAGUUUUUAUGCAAGCUCUUAUAAAAACUGUGGGUGGGGAAUGCCGUUUUAAAAGAGGUAUUACUACUUGCAUAAGAGAAGGGCAGGAACCCAUAUAUGCAUCUUCUGUUUAUUUACUAUAUUUAUUUAAGCCUUCCCGAUGAUACUGGGGUCUUCCCAAAUAAAAUGAUAAAAUGCAAUUAAAGCAAAUUGGCUCCUUAUUCUUGGGGUAUUCUUGGGAUACUGAUAUCCACGCAGUGCCUUUCCCACCCUCAAACCUUUCUCCCACGUCCUUGUAAAUUAAGCAAUGUGUGUCCUUAUAGACAAAGACUUUGGAUUAUGGGGAGGGAAAACUGUGUGUGUGUGUGUGUGUGUGUGUGUGUGUGUGUGUGUCUGCAGCCAUGUGCCUCAGAGAACUAGGAGAAAAGAUUUUGGGACAUUUGUUUCACUUGUCUGGUUUCUGUGCCUUUGAAACCAAAGAUGUUAUGUCCACAUACGAGAGACUGUCAAGAGAAUUUGUUCACCCACACCUUCCGUAGAUGGUUGAUGACAGUGGCAAAGCAAAUUAUACUUGAUUCACCUGUCAAAUCACCCAUGGAAGAUUCACCAUGCAAGAUUGAUUCACCCAUGCAAGAGAGAGCCUCUUCGCUUUUGCAGGAAUGAAUUCCCUAACAAUAUCAGUUGUGGUGGUGAUUUUUUUUUUUUUAAAUACUUUUCCAUCUUGGAUUGCUCUUCCAUUUUGGAAGGAGUGUUUUCUAGUGGCAAAAUUUUUAAAACAGUACAGGAUGUCCAGUCCUAGGAAAUACUUUCUACGAAAGGAAAAGGGGUAAUAUUCAGCUACGUCAUACCCAGAGUAGGCCCACAGAAAUAAGUGGAUUUGCUCUGAGUAUGGCUAACAUUAGAUAUUGCACACUGGUUUUGAUGGGUCAAAGCUUUUGCAGCAAGCCUUGAUCAAUCAGUUGAUUCACUUAUUUUUUUUCUCCAAAGACCUUUUGAUCAAUUAAAAGCAUGUUCGAUUAAUCAAGUAGCUGAUUCUUUCUUAAGACGCAAAAUUUUAUUUUUUAACACAAGUACUUGGGGUAAAACUGGAGAUGAUGGGAGAAGGCGUGUCUUUGCAGCCUUAAGCUCUGCAAACAUGUUCUGAAUUGUGUGUGUGUGUGUGCGCGCGCGCGCAAGCAAGUUUAUUAGGAUUCUGUGCAUCUGCUACUGAGUUCUGUGGUUUUUCUACAGUUUUUUUUGUGUAUAGGAACCUAAGGUGAACCUGGCUGCUGGAUCAAGCGAGUGAUAUGUCUAGUCCAGUCUCCUGUCCUGUCCAGCAGCCAGCCAGAUGCCCCUGUGGGAAGUUCAAAAGCAGGACCUGAGUGCAAGAGCAAUUUGCCCUGCUUGCAAUUCCCAGCAACUGGCACCCAGAGGCAUGUUGCCUAUGCCAGGGGAGGUGGAAUGCAGCCACCGGGACCAGCAGCCACUGACAGCUGUUCUCUGUGUAUCUGGAUCCCCAGCUGGUGGCAACCACUACCUCUUGUGAGAACAAAUUCUGCAGUUUAACUAUGUGCUGAGUGGAGAUGUCCCAUCUUUGGAAUGUGUUGAAUGUAUAAGAAAGAACAGAAAACAAAUCCAGCUAACGAGAUCCGAGGUGAAAUGAUGCAAGGAGCCGUGUUGUCUUUUGUUAUGCUGUGGAACAUGGAAGCAUAGGAUGCUCCCUGAGCUUGUCCAACUCAGUACUUUCUACACUGACUGUCAGCAGCUCUCCAGGGUUGCAGUCAGAUGCCAGAAAUUGAACCCGGGACCUUCUGCAUGGAAGGCAGAUGCUCUGCAACUGAGCUAGGGCCCUUCUUGUAAAAAGCAAACAGAGGAAAAUAGAAAGCAGCAGCAGGCCAUUGGUGCAUCUAGAUCAGUGGGGUGUUGAUUUUGUUGGCUACUAUGUUAUGCCUUUUUGUAGUUUUAUAUUGUAAACUGCCCUGGGUUCCUUGGAUGAAAUUCAAUAAAUGAAACGAAACACACUUGCUGGCAGCUGCUCUCCAGGGCCUCAGGCAAGGGAUAUUCCUAGCCCUAUCUGAAGAUGGAACCUGAGACCAGCCUCCCCAUACCUGGUGCCCUCCAAGUGUUGCUGGUCCCCACUACCCAUCAGCCCCACCCAGGAUGGCUAAGGGUCAGUCAGUGGAGAUUGGAAAUUGCCCUCUGCCAGUGGCAAUAGUGCCACUGUAUUCUGCUCUGGUCAGACCUCACCUGGAGUACUGUGUCCAGUUCUGGGCACCACAGUUCAAGAAGGACACUGACAAACUGGAACGUGUCCAGAGGAGGGCAACCAAAAUGGUCAAAGGCCUGGAAACGAUGCCUUAUGAGGAAUGGCUAAGGGAGAUGGGCAUGUUUAGCCUGGAGAAGAGGAGGUUAAGGGGUGAUAGGAUAGCCAUGUUCAAAUAUAUAAAAGGAUGUCACAUAGAGGAGGGAGAAAGGUUGUUUUCUGCUGCUCCAGAGAAGCGGACACGGAGCAAUGGAUCCAAACUACAAGAAAGAAGAUUCCACCUCAACAUUAGGAAGAACUUCCUGACAGUAAGAGCUGUUCGACAGUGGAAUUUGCUGCCAAGGAGUGUGGUGGAGUCUCCUUCUUUGGAGGUCUUUAAGCAGAGGCUUGACAACCAUAUGUCAGGAGUGCUCUGAUGGUGUUUCCUGCUUGGCAGGGG
RNAcentral lists this long non-coding RNA (7710 nucleotides) under Podarcis lilfordi (Lilford's wall lizard). The record is from RNAcentral. Lineage: Eukaryota; Metazoa; Chordata; Lepidosauria; Squamata; Lacertidae.